GACGAACGCUGGCGGCGUGCUUAACACAUGCAGGUCGAACGGAAAGGCCCUGCUUUUGUGGGGUGCUCGAGUGGCGAACGGGUGAGUAACACGUGAGUAGCCUGCCCUUGACUUUGGGAUAACUUCAGGAAACUGGGGCUAAUACCGGAUAGGAGCUCCUGCUGCAUGGUGGGGGUUGGAAAGUUUCGGCGGUUGGGGAUGGACUCGCGGCUUAUCAGCUUGUUGGUGGGGUAGUGGCUUACCAAGGCUUUGACGGGUAGCCGGCCUGAGAGGGUGACCGGCCACAUUGGGACUGAGAUACGGCCCAGACUCCUACGGGAGGCAGCAGUGGGGAAUAUUGCACAAUGGGCGGAAGCCUGAUGCAGCAACGCCGCGUGCGGGAUGACGGCCUUCGGGUUGUAAACCGCUUUCGCCUGUGACGAGGCGUGAGUGACGGUAAUGGGUAAAGAAGCACCGGCUAACUACGUG
RNAcentral lists this ribosomal RNA (468 nucleotides) under uncultured bacterium. RNAcentral's name for it is "partial 16S ribosomal RNA". It matches the Rfam family "Bacterial small subunit ribosomal RNA", at positions 28 to 507 of the family's 1533-position model. The record is from RNAcentral.